Molecule: ribosomal RNA, 450 nt
Filed under: uncultured Glomeromycotina
Lineage: Eukaryota; Fungi; Glomeromycota
Description: SSU rRNA
Rfam family: Eukaryotic small subunit ribosomal RNA
Source: RNAcentral
AGCAGCCGCGGUAAUUCCAGCUCCAAUAGCGUAUAUUAAAGUUGUUGCAGUUAAAAAGCUCGUAGUUGAAUUUUAGGCCUGGCCAGGCGGUCCGUCUUUGGCGAGUACUGUCUUGUGUCGGGUCUUCCUUCUGGUGAACCUGUAUGUCCUUUAUUGGGUGUGCAGGGGAGCCAGGACCAUUACCUUGAAAAAAUUAGAGUGUUUAAAGCGGGCUAUUGCUUGAAUAGAUUAGCAUGGAAUAAUAGAAUAGGACGUUGUGGUUCUAUUUUGUUGGUUUCUAGGACCACCGUAAUGAUUAAUAGGGAUAGUUGGGGGCAUUAGUAUUCAAUUGUCAGAGGUGAAAUUCUUGGAUUUAUUGAAGACUAACUACUGCGAAAGCAUUUGCCAAGGAUGUUUUCAUUAAUCAAGAACGAAAGUUAGGGGAUCGAAGACGAUCAGAUACCGUCGUAG